This 272-nucleotide long non-coding RNA is filed under the name Homo sapiens (human). RNAcentral describes it as "HSALNT0243006". The record is from RNAcentral. Lineage: Eukaryota; Metazoa; Chordata; Mammalia; Primates; Hominidae.
UUUACCAAGGUUAAGGUACAUGACUUAUGUUUAAAUGAAAAACGAAGUUGCAAAGAAACAUGUUUAGUGGAAUCUCAACGUGUUAGAAAAAAAAAAGGAAAAAGAAACACCUCUAUAUAUGUUUGUGUUUGAGGAUAGAAAUUCUGCAGAAGGACACCCAAGGCUGUGAACAUUGGAUAUCUCGGAGUGAAACUGCAGGCAGGUGAUCCGUUCGUUCCAGAAGCAUAUAAACACCUACCUGACUAUUCUGAGUCUUAGAGAAUCCAACGGUC